GACGAACGCUGGCGGCGCGCCUUAUGCAUGCAAGUCGAACGAGAACUAGACCAAUCGUAAGAUUGAUUUAGGGACAGUGGCGAACGGGUGCGUAACACGUGAGAAACCUGCCCUGGAGAUCGGGAUAGCCCGAGGAAACUCGGAUUAAUACCGAAUAUGCUCACAGGACCGCAUGGUCCGGUGAGGAAAUGGUCCGCCGCUCCAGGAUGGUCUCGCGGCCUAUCAGCUUGUUGGUGAGGUAACGGCUCACCAAGGCUCCGACGGGUAGCUGGUCUGAGAGGACGAUCAGCCACACUGGGACUGAGACACGGCCCAGACUCCUACGGGAGGCAGCAGCAGGGAAUAUUGCACAAUGGGCGCAAGCCUGAUGCAGCGACGCCGCGUGCGGGAUGAAGGCCUUCGGGUUGUAAACCGCUUUCAGGAGGGACGAAAAUGACGGUACCUCCAGAAGAAGGCCCGGCCAACUACGUG
Molecule: ribosomal RNA, 471 nt
Filed under: uncultured bacterium
Lineage: Bacteria
Description: bacterial SSU rRNA
Rfam family: Bacterial small subunit ribosomal RNA
Source: RNAcentral